This 512-nucleotide ribosomal RNA is filed under the name uncultured eukaryote. Its description in RNAcentral is "eukaryotic LSU rRNA". It matches the Rfam family "Eukaryotic large subunit ribosomal RNA", at positions 1086 to 1602 of the family's 3401-position model. The record is from RNAcentral.
GUUCUCUUAACUGAACAUUGAGACAGAAUGCGUGUUCCUAGUGGGCCAUUUUGGUAAGCAGAACUGGCGAUGAGGGAUGAACCUAACGUUGAGUUAAGGUGCCCAACUAUACGCUCAUGAGAUACCACAAAAGGUGUUGAUUCAUCUAAACAGCAGGACGGUGGACAUAAAAGUCGUCAUCCGCUAAGGAGUGUGUUACAACUCACCUGCCGAAUGAAUUAGCCCUAGAAAAUGGAUGGCGCUAAAAGCGUAUGACCGAUACUCAACCAUCAAUACAAAAGAAAGUAGUGAUGAGUAGGAGGGCGUGGGGUGUUGUAAGAAGAUUAUGGCGUGAGCCUGAUUGGAACGACAUCUAGUGCAGAUCUUGGUGGUAGUAGCAAAUAGCCAAUUGGAAACGUUGGCGGCCGAAGUGGAGAAGGGUUCCCUGAGAACAGCAAUUGAUCAGGGGGUUACGCGGUCCUAAGUUCCUGGUUAAACCUAUAUAAGGUGCUCUCCAGCACAGAACGAAAGGG